Molecule: long non-coding RNA, 353 nt
Organism: Dendronephthya gigantea
Lineage: Eukaryota; Metazoa; Cnidaria; Anthozoa; Malacalcyonacea; Nephtheidae
Exons: 4
Source: RefSeq, a predicted model, not a curated record
CUUGUUGGGACUUUCUCUUUGAUGUCCGCCAUUUCAAUAAAUUGAUCGUGGACUGAAGAUUAUUUCAGCCCAGAAUGAGGGACAAGUGGAAGAAGAAACGUAUGCGAAGGUUGAAACGAAAACGCAGAAAAAUGCGAGCCAGAUCAAAGUAAACUGGAGGCAGCGUGUUGUAGACCUGAAAUAAUUUGGUAUCACUGAAGAAAAUUGUUAUGAAAAAGACUGAAGAAAAGGAGCAUAUGAGAGAGAGACAAUAGAUUAUGAUAAAGAAUGACUUUUUAUUCUAUGAUUCCAACCAUGUCUACAAAGUAUUUUGUCUGUUUUAUAAUUGCAAUAAAACUUGUAAAAGCAUUAUA